GUGGGGAAUAUUGGACAAUGGGCGGAAGCCUGAUCCAGCCAUGCCGCGUGUGUGAAGAAGGCCUUUUGGUUGUAAAGCACUUUAAGCGAGGAGGAGGCUCUUAAGGUUAAUACCCUUGAUGAGUGGACGUUACUCGCAGAAUAAGCACCGGCUAACUCUGUGCCAGCAGCCGCGGUAAUACAGAGGGUGCGAGCGUUAAUCGGAUUUACUGGGCGUAAAGCGUGCGUAGGCGGCUGAUUAAGUCGGAUGUGAAAUCCCUGAGCUUAACUUAGGAAUUGCAUUCGAUACUGGUUAGCUAGAGUAUGGGAGAGGAUGGUAGAAUUCCAGGUGUAGCGGUGAAAUGCGUAGAGAUCUGGAGGAAUACCGAUGGCGAAGGCAGCCAUCUGGCCUAAUACUGACACUGAGGUGCGAAAGCAUGGGGAGCAAACAGGAUUAGAAACCCCGGUAGUCC
This 451-nucleotide ribosomal RNA is filed under the name uncultured bacterium. RNAcentral's name for it is "partial 16S ribosomal RNA". It matches the Rfam family "Bacterial small subunit ribosomal RNA", at positions 354 to 796 of the family's 1533-position model. The record is from RNAcentral.